Long non-coding RNA from Hyla sarda, 565 nucleotides. RefSeq lists it as uncharacterized. NCBI's taxonomy places the organism in Eukaryota, Metazoa, Chordata, Amphibia, Anura, Hylidae. The transcript has 4 exons. The record is from RefSeq and is a predicted model, not a curated record.
GCAAACAAAAUGUAGAGCAGCGCCCAAGUGGAUAGUAGAUGGUGCAGGCAGCGGUGAAAGGGUCCUAGGUCAAGAUGUACAGAAAGUAGAAAAGAAGACCAGUAUGACUAUAGGUUCUGCAUAGGAGAUGUAUACAAAAAAAGGGUUCCUCCUCGAAUACUUAACCAAUUAUCCUGGUGUAAUUGUAGCAAGUGUAAGGAAUGGAAAUGACAGGCGGAUGUAAAAGAAACUCUUACACGGGACUCAUUUAGUGUUGGAAAUUGUAUCGUAAAAGACAAUGAGAUACCGAUACAUAUGGGAAGAACGGAGAAGUACUGAAUGCUGGGUCGGCCUUGCUCUAGAGGGUCUCUACCAAAAGUUAUGUGUACAAAAACAAGUACACAUCACAGCAAGUGACCAUACCUCCCUGCUUCCAGCUUGUGGUUCAAAGAAGGCUCCAAUAUUAUUUACUGUGUGAGUUGGUUUGGAGCAUGAAUAUUUCGUAUAUGCGAAUAUGCACAUAUUCGCAAAUAUUGACACUUCCAGAGGACACUGAUCCCUCCCUUCUUUUAUGUGAAAAAUAUAA